RNAcentral lists this ribosomal RNA (253 nucleotides) under uncultured bacterium. RNAcentral describes it as "partial 16S ribosomal RNA". It matches the Rfam family "Bacterial small subunit ribosomal RNA", at positions 524 to 776 of the family's 1533-position model. The record is from RNAcentral.
UACGUAGGGUGCGAGCGUUAAUCGGAAUUACUGGGCGUAAAGCGUGCGCAGGCGGUUAUGCAAGCCAGACGUGAAAGCCCCGGGCUUAACCUGGGAAUGGCGUUUGGGACUGCAUGGCUAGAGUACGUCAGAGGGGGGUGGAAUUCCACGUGUAGCAGUGAAAUGCGUAGAGAUGUGGAGGAACACCGAUGGCGAAGGCAGCCCCCUGGGAUGAUACUGACGCUCAGGCACGAAAGCGUGGGGAGCGAACAGG